Molecule: long non-coding RNA, 265 nt
Organism: Eublepharis macularius
Lineage: Eukaryota; Metazoa; Chordata; Lepidosauria; Squamata; Eublepharidae
Exons: 2
Source: RefSeq, a predicted model, not a curated record
CUUGCAGCUGCAGGAAAAAGUCCAGCCUGUGGGGUGGAGUGGGGUGGGGUGGGAAAGGAGUGGAUCAAGGCCCUGAGGGAAACGACGUUUCAAAGAGGCAAACUGUUGGAUUGCAUCGGCCACAGAGUAUUUAGUAUGUCCAGAUACACACGCCUCAAUCUCUUCUGGAUUCAGCUGGGUUUGUACAAAGAGGUGAAGUCUACUGUCUGAAAGCAGCAGUGGAUUCUGGAGUAUCCUAAAAAUAAAAACUAAUCAGAAAUCUGAA